AGAUGGGGUCUUCUUUUGUUGCCCAGGCUGGCCGCAAAUUCCUGGGCUCAAGUGAUCCUCCCACCUUGUCCUUGUAGAGAUGGGAUUUAGUUAUGUCGUCCAGGCUGAUCUCAAACUCCUGGGCUAAAUCGAGGUCUCCCUCUGUUGUCCAAGGCUGGAGUGUAGUAGUGCUAUCACAGCUGACUGCAGCCUCAACCUUCCAGGCUGAAGCGAUCCUCCCAUCUCAACCUCCCACGUGGCUGAGACUAUAGGUGCUU
Molecule: long non-coding RNA, 257 nt
Filed under: Pongo abelii (Sumatran orangutan)
Lineage: Eukaryota; Metazoa; Chordata; Mammalia; Primates; Hominidae
Description: lincRNA
Source: RNAcentral